Molecule: ribosomal RNA, 450 nt
Filed under: uncultured bacterium
Lineage: Bacteria
Description: bacterial SSU rRNA
Rfam family: Bacterial small subunit ribosomal RNA
Source: RNAcentral
UCAAGAAACUUCCACAAUGGGCGAAAGCCUGAUGGAGCGACGUCGCGUGACGGACGAAGUGCUUCGGCACGUAAACAUCUUUUAUGUGGGAUGAAAUUAUUGACAGUACCACAUGAAUAAGGGGCUCCUAACUCUGUGCCAGCAGGAGCGGUAAUACAGAGGCCCCAAGCGUUAUCCGGAAUCACUGGGCGUAAAGGGUGUCGAGGCGGUUGUAUUAGUCGUUCGUAAAAUCUACGAGCUUAACUUGUAGGCGGCGAACGAAACGGUACGACUUGAGGUUUGGAGAGGUGCGUGGAACUCACGGUGUAGGAGUGAAAUCCGUUGAUAUCGUGGGGAACACCAAAGGCGAAGGCAGCGCACUGGCCAAAAUCUGACGCUCACACACGAAAGCUAGGGUAGCGAAGAGGAUUAGAUACCCCCGUAGUCCCUGAGCGGGCUGGCAAGGCGCAU